CUAAGAUAAAUUCCUAGUCCUCAUAACUGAUUAUUUACUGCUAUCAGUACUGAACUAGAAGUCUUGAAAAGCACCCAACAUCAUUCUUCCUGUAAAUAAUUGUCACACUCCAUAGCAUCUCAGCAUCUGCCUGAAGACCAGCCCUAAGAACUAGGAUCCAUGCUUCAAUCUCAGCCUCAGACUUCUGGAUGCUGUUUUGUCAUCCCUCCAGUAUGACGUCCUGUGUUUCUUCAUCAGAAUCCAUCCUCUAAUGUAGAAGACUGAUCAUUCAGAUGUUGAGUUGGGCAAUACAGAAGAGAGACAGAGUCUGGCCUAUUCCCUUCACUCUGACAGGUCCACAUUAAGAAUGAAAAAAAAAAAGAAGAAGAAGAAGUGAUGAGAAACUGUUCUAAGUCCCAAGAGUUAUACAAAGCUUAGCUGUGACUGCAGCCCAAGUCCUCAAUGCCCCUCAGAGGAUGUCAAUGAAACUAGAAGAGAUUCUGGACACACCCACAACAGAGGUACUAGAAAAAAUACCUGGCUGGAAUACUGGAAGAGAAGUGGCUGGGAAAAAUAGUGGCUGGAAACUGGAAGAGAAGCUCAUGAUGAGAAAUUCAAAACUAACAUUCAGAAUUCUUAAUAAAUGACCUGAUAUAUGCCAACAUUAUUAAACAACUUUUUAAUUAAA
Peromyscus maniculatus bairdii (prairie deer mouse) is the source of this 667-nucleotide non-coding RNA. The record is from RefSeq and is a predicted model, not a curated record. NCBI's taxonomy places the organism in Eukaryota, Metazoa, Chordata, Mammalia, Rodentia, Cricetidae.